GGUCUGGUGGUGUAGCGGUUACAUAUCCUCAUAUGCUGAUAGGUUGUAAUUGUGCUCUGAGGAAGUCCCUCGUUCGACUCGGGGUCAGACCA
Molecule: non-coding RNA, 92 nt
Organism: Mycena alexandri
Lineage: Eukaryota; Fungi; Basidiomycota; Agaricomycetes; Agaricales; Mycenaceae
Source: the annotation of a GenBank genome assembly